AUUGAACGCUGGCGGCAUGCCUUACACAUGCAAGUCGAACGGCAGCACGGGAGCAAUCCUGGUGGCGAGUGGCGAACGGGUGAGUAAUAUAUCGGAACGUGCCCAGUCGUGGGGAUAACGUAGCGAAAGCUACGCUAAUACCGCAUACGAUCUAUGGAUGAAAGCGGGGGAUCGCAAGACCUCGCGCGAUUGGAGCGGCCGAUAUCAGAUUAGGUAGUUGGUGAGGUAAAGGGCUCACCAAGCCGACGAUCUGUAGCUGGUCUGAGAGGACGACCAGCCACACUGGGACUGAGACACGGCCCAGACUCCUACGGGAGCAGCAGUGGGGAAUUUUGGACAAUGGGCGCAAGCCUGAUCCAGCAAUGCCGCGUGAGUGAUGAAGGCCUUAGGGUUGUAAAGCUCUUUUACCCGGGAUGGAUAAUGACAGUACCGGGAGAAUAAGACUCCGGCUAACUCCGUGCCAGCAGCCGCGGUAAAGUA
This 480-nucleotide ribosomal RNA is filed under the name uncultured bacterium. Its description in RNAcentral is "bacterial SSU rRNA". It matches the Rfam family "Bacterial small subunit ribosomal RNA", at positions 30 to 527 of the family's 1533-position model. The record is from RNAcentral.